RNAcentral lists this small nuclear RNA (159 nucleotides) under Sorex araneus (European shrew). RNAcentral describes it as "U1 spliceosomal RNA (ENSSARG00000015036.1)". It matches the Rfam family "U1 spliceosomal RNA". Rfam says of the family: U1 is a small nuclear RNA (snRNA) component of the spliceosome (involved in pre-mRNA splicing). Its 5' end forms complementary base pairs with the 5' splice junction, thus defining the 5' donor site of an intron. Lineage: Eukaryota; Metazoa; Chordata; Mammalia; Eulipotyphla; Soricidae. The record is from RNAcentral.
CAAGUUACCUGGCAAGGGAGAUACCAUGAUCACGCAGGUGGUUUUCCCAGGGCGAGGUUCAUCCAUUGUACUUGGAAUGUGCUGGUCUCUGCGAUUUCCCCAAAUGUGGGAAACUUGACUACAUAAUUUGUGAAGUUUGAUAUGUACUUGAAAUAUUCU